GCUGUAGCUCCGUGUUAGAGCAUCUAUUCUGCAUGCAGAAGGUCCCAGGUUCCAUUCCUGGCAUCUCCA
This is a non-coding RNA of Podarcis lilfordi (Lilford's wall lizard), 69 nucleotides long. NCBI's taxonomy places the organism in Eukaryota, Metazoa, Chordata, Lepidosauria, Squamata, Lacertidae. The record is from the annotation of a GenBank genome assembly.